Molecule: long non-coding RNA, 1537 nt
Organism: Triticum aestivum (bread wheat)
Lineage: Eukaryota; Viridiplantae; Streptophyta; Magnoliopsida; Poales; Poaceae
Exons: 4
Source: RefSeq, a predicted model, not a curated record
CGCAAGAGCUGUCAAGGGCAGAGCUAUGGCCAUGCCGGAGGCGGGAGGCGGACGGAUUCGAGUUUCUAGCAGAUCCAAUCGACAGAUUUCCAUUGCCGGAUCUCGCCGCGGCCUAAUACUUGCUGCGCGACGAAGUAAAUCAAUCUCUGUUGUGCGCGGUCGCUCAAUCUAGCAAUAGUGGUGCCGGCGAGACGGCGGUAGCAGUACAAGAAGAAUUUGACCACAGUUCCAAAAGGGUUGCCCUGUCGAAUCCAAAGCAUUCGACAGACAAAGACGAUGGACAAGCACCUGACUCGUCGAGCAGGUUUCAGUUGCCAGAGGCCACCAUCUGUCAACGGUUAGUGAACGGCGAAGCAAGCCAGGCUUUGGUAUGCAACAGCCGUUGAAUCCAGCAUUGGUAAUGUGGGUGAUCCACCGCCCCACAAUACAAGUAGACAUCAACAGCACUUGCAAUGGAAUGGCCCUGUCCCUUCCGACCCGAGAACAAUCGACAGGCAAAGAAGAUCCUCAAGCACCUGGCUGGACCAAAAGGUAUAACAAUUGUGGAUGUGUGUUUCUGUUUCAAGGAUAUGACAAUUUUGAGUUGGCUGUAUAUUUAUAUUCCUCCAAAUUUCACUGCCUGUAAAGUACAAGGCUGCUGCUAGACGUCGAUACGUUGUGUUUUGUGAUUACACACUAUUAGAAACUGUUUCUAGAAUAACAUGUAGCUGUGUGGUGCGGGGUACGUGUAGGGCACGCACCUAUUUAUAUUCCUCCAAAAGUUGUUCUGCAUAUGGUCGAGAAAAUAGCUGUGGAGACAAAUUUUCCUUAUAGUUUGUUUAUUUCCACAUUCUGUUGUUGAGGGCUUGGCAGCCAAAAAAUAGAAAUUUGUGUAAUAAAACCUGUUGAAGCUACACUGCUGUCUGUUGUACUUGUUAACUUGCCAGCAAUGAGCAGAACCAGCAGCAUCAGUUUUUAGGAUCUCAAGAUCAUAUCGCUGGGAGCAGUGAACCAGAGGAUACGGCUACCAUGGAGCGGACAUCUGUGAUUCAGGCUUCAGUUCACGGAAGAGCUGACAGUACAUCAAUGGCUGGUGAAGGAUUCGACGACGAACCUGAAGUGCAAUCCCGUCAUACAGCCGUGGAAGAGGUCGGCACCUAUGAUCCAGAGAAUCGAAUCUGCACCGGCGGUGACAACAGGUCGGAUUCAAGCAGCUACCGCGAGUCAACGACCAGGGGAGCUGAAUAGAUCUGGUGGCCCGACCAAACCCUUUCACAAACAGAACACCACUUCGUACGCCGUCUGGGACAGUGGUACGUAUUGGUACAUGUCGAAAGCCGUCAUCAACGCGCUGCCGUCGGCCGGCACGUCCCGAAGAACGGCGUCUCAAUCCAUCACGUAUACACAUUAAAUGCGCUCACGUCCUCGUCCAGGCAUACGUCUUGCGUCGUGCAUCCCGAAACGAACGAACGCAUAGUGAUUCCGGGAGCGCGCGUGCUCGUCCGCGCCAACAAAUUUCCGCCUACACCAUUUGUUUUACAAAUGGGCUCUAGGACUU